UACGGGGGGUGCAAGCGGUAAUCGGAAUCACUGGGCGUAAAGGGUGCGUAGGCGGUGCAUUAGGUCUGUCGUGAAAUCCCCGGUCUCAACCUGGGAAUGGCGGUGGAAACCGGUGUACUAGAGUAUGGGAGAGGGUGGUGGAAUUCCAGGUGUAGCGGUGAAAUGUGUAGAGAUCUGGAGGAACAUCAGUGGCGAAGGCGGCCACCUGGCCCAAUACUGACGCUGAGGCACGAAAGCGUGGGGAGCAAUCAGG
This 253-nucleotide ribosomal RNA is filed under the name uncultured bacterium. RNAcentral's name for it is "partial 16S ribosomal RNA". It matches the Rfam family "Bacterial small subunit ribosomal RNA", at positions 524 to 776 of the family's 1533-position model. The record is from RNAcentral.